AGUGAACGCUGGCGGUAGGCCUAACACAUGCAAGUCGAACGGCAGCACCGUAAGAGCUUGCUCUUACGGGUGGCGAGUGGCGGACGGGAGAGGAAUACAUCGGAAUCUACUUUUUCGUGGGGGAUAACGUAGGGAAACUUACGCUAAUACCGCAUACGACCUACGGGUGAAAGCAGGGGAUAUUCGGACCUUGCGCGAUUGAAUGAGCCGAUGUCGGAUUAGCUAGUUGGCGGGGUAAAGGCCCACCAAGGCGACGAUCCGUAGCUGGUCUGAGAGGAUGAUCGGCCACACUGGAACUUAGACAGGGUCCAGACUCCUACGGGAGGCAGCAGUGGGGAAUAUUGGACAAUGGGCGGAAGCCUGAUCCAGCCAUACCGCGUGGGUGAAGAAGGCGUUCGGGUUGUAAAGCCGUUUUGUUGGGAAAGAAAAGCAGCAGGUUAAUACCCCGCUGUUCUGACGGUACCCAAAGAAUAAGCACCGGCUAACUUCGUG
Molecule: ribosomal RNA, 492 nt
Filed under: uncultured bacterium
Lineage: Bacteria
Description: partial 16S ribosomal RNA
Rfam family: Bacterial small subunit ribosomal RNA
Source: RNAcentral